GCCUCCCUCCGCCGCCACUCAGACUCCGUACGGGACGGCGAGCAGUGGGAAGUAGUUGCACAAUGGGACGGGAAGGCCGUGAUGCAGCGACGCCGCGUCGGAGGGAGUGACGGCCUUCGGUUCGUAACCCUUUCACGCAGGGACGAAGCGCAAGUGACUGUACCUGCAGAAGAAGCACCGGCUAACUACGUGCCAGCAGCCGCGGUAAUAC
RNAcentral lists this ribosomal RNA (211 nucleotides) under uncultured bacterium. RNAcentral describes it as "partial 16S ribosomal RNA". It matches the Rfam family "Bacterial small subunit ribosomal RNA", at positions 302 to 526 of the family's 1533-position model. The record is from RNAcentral.